RNAcentral lists this ribosomal RNA (490 nucleotides) under uncultured bacterium. RNAcentral's name for it is "partial 16S ribosomal RNA". It matches the Rfam family "Bacterial small subunit ribosomal RNA", at positions 30 to 507 of the family's 1533-position model. The record is from RNAcentral.
AUUGAACGCUGGCGGCAUGCCUUACACAUGCAAGUCGAACGGCAGCAUGAUCUAGCUUGCUAGAUUGAUGGCGAGUGGCGAACGGGUGAGUAAUACAUCGGAACGUGCCCUGUAGUGGGGGAUAACUAGUCGAAAGAUUAGCUAAUACCGCAUACGACCUGAGGGUGAAAGUGGGAGACCGCAAGGCCUCAUGCUAUAGGAGCGGCCGAUGUCUGAUUAGCUAGUUGGUGAGGUAAAGGCUCACCAAGGCGACGAUCAGUAGCUGGUCUGAGAGGACGAUCAGCCACACUGGGACUGAGACACGGCCCAGACUCCUACGGGAGGCAGCAGUGGGGAAUUUUGGACAAUGGGCGAAAGCCUGAUCCAGCAAUGCCGCGUGUGUGAAGAAGGCCUUCGGGUUGUAAAGCACUUUUGUCCGGAAAGAAAUGGCUCUGGUUAAUACCUGGGGUCGAUGACGGUACCGGAAGAAUAAGGACCGGCUAACUACGUG